GGAACUUGUUCGUCGAGCGGCAUCUGCGGCAGUGUGUCUUCGUCGAGUAGCUAUUGCAGAGGUUCAAAGAGAUCGAAGUUUUUGCAAUUAAAUUGAAGAUCAAACUUUUGACUACACAAAUUAUAUCCAAAGGUAUUUCAAAGUUGAGCUACCUGAGCUUAAGCAAAAUGGUGAGACCUAAGGAUAAAUUUCGGGAACAUGUAGAGCAACGUGGUUUGGGCCGUUUCACAUGUAACUAUUGUGGACUUAAUUAUUCCGGGAGUGUUUCACGAGUGAAGGCUCAUUUAGCUUGUCAACCUGGACAUGAUGUUCAAAUUUGCACCCAAGUUCCUGAGCACAUUCAAGCUGAUGCCCUGGCAGAAUUUAAUUUGAGUAGAUCUG
Macadamia integrifolia is the source of this 381-nucleotide long non-coding RNA. RefSeq lists it as uncharacterized. The record is from RefSeq and is a predicted model, not a curated record. Lineage: Eukaryota; Viridiplantae; Streptophyta; Magnoliopsida; Proteales; Proteaceae. The transcript is spliced from 3 exons.